CCUUACGGGACCCACCAGUGAGAAUUUUUCGCAAUGGGCCACCCCUGACGAACAAUCCGCGUGGAUGAAGAAGCCUUUCGGGUUGUAAAGUCCUUUCGUGGGGACGAAAAGCCGGAUCCGAAUACGUUCUGCUAUUGACGUGAACCCAAGAAGAAGCACCGCUAACUCCGUGCCAGCACCCGCGGUAAUACGGAGGGUGCAAGCGUUAAUCGAAUUACUGGGCGUAGAGCGCACGCAGCCGUUCUGUCAAGUCGGAUGUGAAAUCCCCGGGCUCAACCUGGAACUGCAUUCGAAACUGGCAGGCUAGAGUCUUGUAGAGGGGGGUAGGAUUCCAGGUGUAGCGGUGAAAUGCGUAGAGAUCUGGAGGAAUACCGGUGGCGAAGGCGGCCCCCUGGACAAAGACUGACGCUCAGGUGCGAAAGCGUGGGGAGCAAACAGGAUUAGAUACCCUGGUAGUCCACGCCGUAAACGAUGUCGACCUGGAGGUUGUGCCCUUGAGGCGUGGCUUCCGGAGCUAACGCGUUAAGUCGACCGCCUGGGGAGUACGGCCGCAAGGUUAAAACUCAAAGGAAUUGACGG
RNAcentral lists this ribosomal RNA (579 nucleotides) under uncultured bacterium. RNAcentral's name for it is "bacterial SSU rRNA". It matches the Rfam family "Bacterial small subunit ribosomal RNA", at positions 337 to 916 of the family's 1533-position model. The record is from RNAcentral.